UCCCUGGUGGCUCAGACGGUAAAGCAUCUGCCUAAAGCGCAGGAGACCCGGGUUCAGUCCCUGGGUUGGGAA
Molecule: transfer RNA, 72 nt
Filed under: Ovis aries (sheep)
Lineage: Eukaryota; Metazoa; Chordata; Mammalia; Artiodactyla; Bovidae
Rfam family: tRNA
About the family: Transfer RNA (tRNA) molecules are approximately 80 nucleotides in length. Their secondary structure includes four short double-helical elements and three loops (D, anti-codon, and T loops). Further hydrogen bonds mediate the characteristic L-shaped molecular structure. tRNAs have two regions of fundamental functional importance: the anti-codon, which is responsible for specific mRNA codon recognition, and the 3' end, to which the tRNAs corresponding amino acid is attached (by aminoacyl-tRNA synthetases). tRNAs cope with the degeneracy of the genetic code in two manners: having more than one tRNA (with a specific anti-codon) for a particular amino acid; and 'wobble' base-pairing, i.e. permitting non-standard base-pairing at the 3rd anti-codon position.
Source: Rfam by way of RNAcentral